UGGGGAAUAUUGGACAAUGGAGGGAACUCUGAUCCAGCAAUUCUGUGUGUGAGAAGAAGGUUUUAGGACUGUAAAACACUUUUAGAAGGGAAGAAAAAAAUGACGGUACCUACAGAAGAAGCAACGGCCAAAUACGAGCCAGCAGCCGCGGUAAUACGUAAGUUGCGAGCGUUAUCCGGAAUUAUUUGGCUUAAAGGGCAUCUAGGCGGUAAGACAAGUUGAAGGUGAAAACCUGUGGCUCAACCAUAUGCUUGCCUACAAAACUGUUGAACUAGAGUACUGGAAAGGUGGGUGGAACUACACGAGUAGAGGUGCAAUUCGUAGAUAUGUGUAGGAAUGCCGAUGAUGAAGAUAACUCACUCGACAGUAACUGACGCUGAAGUGCGACAGCUAGGGGAGCAAACAGG
This 407-nucleotide ribosomal RNA is filed under the name Verrucomicrobiota bacterium. RNAcentral's name for it is "Verrucomicrobia bacterium partial 16S ribosomal RNA". It matches the Rfam family "Bacterial small subunit ribosomal RNA", at positions 355 to 776 of the family's 1533-position model. Lineage: Bacteria; Pseudomonadati; Verrucomicrobiota. The record is from RNAcentral.